GGCGAGGAGCGCAGAGGAGUCAGAGCCAGGGGACACACCUGGCUGCUGACCUCAGGACACCCUGGGCUGGUCCAAGGAGACGCACCUCCCGGGGACACAGAAUCCCACCCCCGGUAGCCCUGACCGUCCAGCUCCCGCGCCUCCCAGCCCUACCGCAUCCCGCGUCUGCAGGGCGGGGCCGGGCCGUUGGGUCGCCCCUCCCACUCUCCACUCCUUUUCUCCCUCGGAAACCACCGAGCACAAAGGCAGCAUUGAUUCUCCGCCACCCUCAGAGCGGUCUCCGGAAGGCUCCGCCACCACGCGCUCGCCUCACCCCUGCGCGGAGCCACCAAGAGCACCGUGUUCCGACCCUCUGCCCUGGGAUCCGAGCUAGCGAUCCUCUCCGUCGCGCGCCCGGAGUGCUGGCCUCACCUGUGGGUCGCCUUUGGGUUCUGGCCUCAGGCCCUGACACUUUCAGAGCCAGAGGGGAGCAGCUUUCUCUGCAGCUUGCUCCCCCAGCGCAGUCCUUAUGGGAGGAGCUGGCAGGGGCCUCCGCUGCCUACGUCCUACCUCUUUUCCUGGAUAAACACAGCUCUGUCUGCGCGGCCAUCAGCCCGGUCUUCUGACUUCCUCCAGCUGAAGCCAGGUUUCUAGCAACAAUCCAUUCCUGUGCCCAGGCCUCCUCUGCUGAAACUGGGCUGCUUAGGGGUGGGGGAGGGCUACAGAGAAGAGGGAGACGGCCAUCAGUGGACAGUGGCCACUUCUUUGGUGCUCGGUUCCAACCCCAGCCCUCACAGGUGAAGUCCGUCUUCUGUAAAACCCUCCUGGUUGAAAUCCUGCCUUGGCCCCCAGUGCCCUGUUCUGGAGCCAUUCCAAUAGCUCCAAGGCAGAGUGACUUGCAGUGAUCAGUUGUCUGCAUUAUUCUGGCUAAUAGUUCUCUGAAUUAUUGUGGCUAAAGGAAAAGUGGCCAGACUCAGGAUUUCUGGACUUAGAAAUACUGAAGAUAAAGCUGGAUCCAACAGUCAGGAUCAAGCUGGCCUAUGUCCUCCAUCCCUGACAGAUCUUAGGAAGCACAGGCCACCACAGACAAGAUGAGACCAUCAGUUGCAGUCUAGACACACCUACCAUCCUUCAGUCUCUGAAAGGAAGCAAGGCUAGUUCCUCGCCUAGGACCACUCUUCUCCUUCAUGCUUCAGCUCUGGAGGCCCUCACUGACACCCUCCCACCUAAAUUAGGGGCACCUGCUGUACACUUUCAUAGUACCUCAUACUUUUCCUUUAUGGCAUUGAUUACAGUUUUUCCCCCUCUAUUUAUGUGGUUAUUUGUUUAAUGUCCAUCUCUCUUACUAGACUAAGAAUCUUAAAAACAGUGCUUGGUGCAAAGCAGAUACUCAAUCAGGAUGUAUUUGAUGAGUGAAGUAGUAAGCAAAAUUAUACUUGAAUCAAUUUGUUCAUCCAUUCAUUGAAGUGCCUAAAAUGCACCAGGCACUGUGCUAGGGGGAUACAUAGAAUAGAGAGCUGUCUAAGGGGAGAGACAGACAAUAAACAUGCAAACAACAAUAAGACAAAUCCUGAAAUGCAGGAAAAAAGAUGAAAUAAACCAGUGAAUGCAAUGAUUAUUGUGUCAUCUAAUACUUGAAGAUUUUAACAAAGCAAGUGUUUGUUUUGUGGCGAUCCCUGGUGGCCUCCAGACCUUCCAUUCAUGUGGCUUCU
Molecule: long non-coding RNA, 1691 nt
Filed under: Pan troglodytes (chimpanzee)
Lineage: Eukaryota; Metazoa; Chordata; Mammalia; Primates; Hominidae
Description: long non-coding RNA NONPTRT000468
Source: RNAcentral